RNAcentral lists this ribosomal RNA (792 nucleotides) under Euchirus dupontianus. RNAcentral describes it as "SSU rRNA". It matches the Rfam family "Eukaryotic small subunit ribosomal RNA", at positions 588 to 1325 of the family's 1831-position model. The record is from RNAcentral. Lineage: Eukaryota; Metazoa; Arthropoda; Insecta; Coleoptera; Scarabaeidae.
GCUCCAAUAGCGUAUAUUAAAGUUGUUGCGGUUAAAAAGCUCGUAGUCGAAUUUGUGUCCCGCGCCGCCGGUUCAUCGCUCGCGGUGUUUAACUGGCGUGUCCGCGGGACGUCCUGCCGGUGGGCUCAGCCUCCUCCUCUCUAGGGGGGGGGCGGCCCAACUUCAAAUCCCACCGCGGUGCUCUUUGCCGAGUGUCGAGGUGGGCCGGCACGUUUACUUUGAACAAAUUAGAGUGCUUAAAGCAGGCUAAAACUUCGCCUGAAUACUGUGUGCAUGGAAUAAUGGAAUAGGACCUCGGUUCUAUUUUGUUGGUUUUCGGAACUCCGAGGUAAUGAUUAAUAGGAACGGAUGGGGGCAUUCGUAUUGCGACGUUAGAGGUGAAAUUCUUGGAUCGUCGCAAGACGGACAGAAGCGAAAGCAUUUGCCAAAAACGCUUUCAUUGAUCAAGAACGAAAGUUAGAGGUUCGAAGGCGAUCAGAUACCGCCCUAGUUCUAACCAUAAACGAUGCCAGCUAGCGAUCCGCCGACGUUCCUCCGAUGACUCGGCGGGCAGCUUCCGGGAAACCAAAGCUUUUGGGUUCCGGGGGAAGUAUGGUUGCAAAGCUGAAACUUAAAGGAAUUGACGGAAGGGCACCACCAGGAGUGGAGCCUGCGGCUUAAUUUGACUCAACACGGGAAACCUCACCAGGCCCGGACACCGGAAGGAUUGACAGAUUGACAGCUCUUUCUUGAUUCGGUGGGUGGUGGUGCAUGGCCGUUCUUAGUUGGUGGAGCGAUUUGUCUGGUUAAUUC